ACAUACCAUGGGCUUCCUGUGGUAGUGAAGCACGUGUACCCAUCAUGCCUCAGUGUCUCUUUGACAAGAAGGUGAGAAGAUGGCAGGUGGAGUGAUGCUUCUUGGUGUGGACAGAAACUUCGACCAUUACACGAGAUCAUCAAGGAUAUGAAGACUAGUUGAAUCUAUAAGUGUUGGUUAUAGAUGUUAUUUAGAAGAAAUUACACUCCAAAGCAAGUCAUAUUCUGACGUUAGCAAGACAUAUACAUUCUCCUACCAGGCCAGUGUUAUGCCUCAAGAGGAAAGCAACAAUGAUUACAGCAGUUAUGCCUACUAUGGAUCUAUUUCACUAUCAAAGGACUCAGGUGUCAACAUUUUAGAAUUUUAUAAUUUACACCAUUUUAGUCUAAACCUACUAUUAUUGGUCAUUAACAAAUUCUGUAUUCUGAUUGGCUAAGCUACUAGUGGUCUUUAAGGUUACAUGGGACACAAUUAGGUCAUUUUCUGAAAGCUUAAUAACUGAAAUUUUCAAGUUUAUCUCCGCAAUUUUUCGUAUAUUUCAUAGAUAUAAGGUAUCUCAGAAAAUUGAGGUGACUUUCAAAGUGUAACUUAUUCUCCCACUGCUUUGUGUAAAUGGAUUAUAUUGUCGUUGUAUCUUAAACUAAACGCGUUGAUCUAAAAAAGCUUGUYUCUAAUUUUCUUUUUGGCACUUAUUAUUUUGCACUUGUUAUUUUGAAAGGUUUUUACUUGGAUUCUCAUGGAAAAGAAUUUUGUUGUGAAAAAAGACCUUAAGGUUGCAUUCAUAAUGUAUGGCAGG
Actinia tenebrosa (Australian red waratah sea anemone) is the source of this 796-nucleotide long non-coding RNA. RefSeq lists it as uncharacterized. NCBI's taxonomy places the organism in Eukaryota, Metazoa, Cnidaria, Anthozoa, Actiniaria, Actiniidae. The record is from RefSeq and is a predicted model, not a curated record.